AGGCCACUAGAUGGCAGUAGAUACUUGAGAGUUAAAAAGGCGUUGACUCUUUGCAGCGGCUGGCUCUGCAGAAGAAAAAACAAACAAACAAAACGAAAAGACUCAUGACAAACUGCACCAAAUAGAGCGCUUGGUGGAAACGAAUGGUUGGGAAUUGGACCGUCGUUCCUUCAGCCCAGUCCACCUGCACAUUCCCAGAGAUGCAGCAGACGAGGCCGAGAAACGGGAGAGAGAGUGGAGCAUGGAGACGAGAGGAGGUAGCCACGGAUGCAGCUCCAGAGAAGAGGAUUAAAAGGGACAGGAACGAAUGCCUCUAAAG
Fundulus heteroclitus (mummichog) is the source of this 319-nucleotide long non-coding RNA. RefSeq lists it as uncharacterized. The transcript has 3 exons. The record is from RefSeq and is a predicted model, not a curated record. NCBI's taxonomy places the organism in Eukaryota, Metazoa, Chordata, Actinopteri, Cyprinodontiformes, Fundulidae.